CCUUGGGAACGGAACUAAGGGAGUGACAGAUAUUGGGGAGGUAAUCAGUGACGCGAUGGAGUCCAGGUGUGCCUCAUAUUGAGGCGCAGGUGCGCUAAACGAUGUUGCCAGGGCCAGCGGUUAGUAAACCGGCGAUGUCCAAUGCCGAAGAGGGGGGAGCGGGAGUAGACGUGACACAAACGCAAGUAUUUCAUUUUUUGAGGAUUGGUUUCCCUGGUGAUUUUACCCACGCAUCGCUACUGGACUGAGCUCCGUACUUCCACUCUCUGUCGCCCACCCUGGAAUCCUUCUCUACACUAACACCUGAACAACCUGUGCUCGCCUAAUGUCAGAGAAAAGAACAGCCUCAAUUUGUGGAGGCACGGACUCUACAAGGUGUCGAAAGCAUUCCACAGGCCCGUGUUGACUCCAAUGCUUCUCACAGUUGUCAAGUUGGCUGGAUGUCCUUUGGGUGGAGGACCAUUCUUGAUACACACAGGAAACUGAGCGUGAAAAACCCAGAAGGUUUGCAGUUCUUGACACAAACCGAUGUGCCUGGUACCUACUGCCAUACCCUGUUCAAAGGCACUUAAAUAUUUAGUCUUGCCCAUUCACCCCCUGAAUGGCACACAUACACAAUCCAUGUCUCUGUCUCAAGGCUUAAAAAUCCUUAUUUAACCUGCCUUCUCCCCUUCAUUGACACUGAUUUGAAGUGGAUUUAACAAGUGACAUCAAUAAGGGAUCAUAGAUUUCACCUGGUCAGUGAAUGUCAUGGAAAGAUACUAGCAAUCGGGCAGUUAAUGUGAGCAUGUGCUCCGACGCCAUGGUUGUGGCUUAGUGCAUGUGCCAGGAAACUAGGAUACUGACUCGACAUGAUUCACUUUUACAAAAAAGGAAACACUACCCUCAAGGCUGCAAAUCACUUUUUGUAAGAGCAUGCAUGAGCAGCACAUUCGUUCUAUUAUGCACAUUCCGAAUAAAAAGAAAGUGAGUAUUUAUGUCUGGUAUUAAUUUCGCAAGAUAAGGAGGGAACCCUUCAAGCUGAGCUGCUCCAUACCUGCAUAUUUCUCCACCAAAAUUCCUUAAUCAGAGAAAGGGGAAGAAUGAGGCUGAUAAGUUGAAGUGCCAUAAAUCAUGCUGUAUAAAUAGUAACUCUCAGAUCCACACUGCAUAGCCACUGCUCAUACCAGCGGCUUGAUUAUUUGGGUCAGUGGAGUUCUUGACAUUUUUUAAAAAGGGGAACGCCCUCCUUCUUAAGCAGAUGUCUUGGUCCUGCUGUUGCUGCAAGGAAGGUUACAAAUGUGAACAAGCAGCAUUUAGGUUUGGGUCGAGGAGCAGAUUCGCCAGAGCAGUUCAGAUUUUUCACUGACUUCAUCUUGUCAUUUGCCAAAAGUGGCUAUGAUGAUGAAGGGUGGGAGUUGACCUAAGGUGGAGUAUUGACACAGGUGGACUGGAAAUCAUUGCUCGUUAUCGCUAAGAAUAAGUCAGCACUUGUUGCAAAAGGUUGGAAUGGAGUAGAAUUGCAACAUAAAAUGUAAUUGUUUACUAAAGGUUUUCAUACAUAAUAAACAUGGAGAUUCAUACAUGAUGCAACAAUUAGCUACUGUAUACUGGAUGUAACAUUCUCUUCUUUGAAACUACAAUAUCCGUAACAUCAAUUGAUGACACCUUGUCCCCAAUGGUGCAACUAACUCCACUGUUUAUUCAGUAGUGGGAGGGCCUAUUCUGGCUGGACAUUAAAAAGCGGAGUGUUCCCUAUCUGCUUUAGAACAGUGUGAUUUAUUUUAUUUUUUCUCUCCCUGUGGCCCCAGGGGGAUGUAUGCAUUCUCCUGCCUCUCUCAAGCCAUUGCUCCCUGUUAAUGAGCCAUCCACAUGCCAAUGACACACCUGUCAGCCCUAAUCAACUGGUUUGCAUGGAACCCUGUAUCUGCCUUGUCUCCUCUGUCCUAGACCCUGAACCCACCUCCCUGGUGCACCACCCACCUCACUUCAAUCAAACAGCUGUAGAACCCCAUACUUUGUAACAGGCCACCUUGGUAUAUAGAUGUAUCCUGAAUGUGUGUGUCCAGAAUGAUGCAGCCAGGCCAUGUUUGGUCCUGGACCUGUUUGCGACCUCAUGCAUCCUUUUUAGUUUGUGUUGUGGGGAAAUUACGAGUAUCUUAUUAUAAUAAACAUAUUUUAGUAUGAAUGAUUUUGAUUAUUGCGAGGUCACAGCUUUCCAAAACAGUUGACCUCAGGUCUUUAUGGUUACACAAUUCCACCUACAGUUGGCCUAAUAAAUGACUGUGGUGUUAUUAAUAAAGUCAAAACCUCCUCAGACUAGAUCCAGAAAUGUGUCAAUUCAUUUCCAAGGUUCAUCAUCCACAAGGCCUCAAUAUUACAAAUGGUUAAGGUUUCGUGCACUGAAUGUGAGUACCAUGUAUGAGCACUUUAUAAAUUCAAUAACAUAUUGUUACUAUUGCCAUUGCAUGAAGGCCUUUUAAUAAGGUGUUAUUGUGGCACAUACAAACAUCUACCUAUCAAGCUCUCUCUCUCUCAUGCAUCUUACUGUAUAUUUACAGUUAAUUGUACUGUUCUUUUAUAGUAUUACAUUCAUCUAG
This 2579-nucleotide long non-coding RNA is filed under the name Salmo salar (Atlantic salmon). RNAcentral's name for it is "lncRNA (ENSSSAG00000106774.1)". Lineage: Eukaryota; Metazoa; Chordata; Actinopteri; Salmoniformes; Salmonidae. The record is from RNAcentral.